CCCUUAGAUGUCCGGGGCCGCACGCGCGCUACACUGAAGGAAUCAGCGUGGCUUUCUCCCUGACCCGAAAGGGUUGGGAAACCCGUUGAAUCUCCUUCGUGAUAGGGAUUGGGGCUUGAAAUUGUUCCCCAUGAACGAGGAAUUCCCAGUAAGCGCGAGUCAUAAGCUCGGGUUGAUUACGUCCCUGCCCUUUGUACACACCGCCCGUCGCUACUACCGAUUGAACGGUUUAGUGAGGGCCUCGGAUUGGUCUCGGCCCGCUCUUUACCGGGCGGCGCCGUUGGUCGAGAAGACGCUCGAACUUGAUCGUUUAGAGGAAGUAAAAGUCGUAACA
This 334-nucleotide ribosomal RNA is filed under the name uncultured eukaryote. Its description in RNAcentral is "partial 18S ribosomal RNA". It matches the Rfam family "Eukaryotic small subunit ribosomal RNA", at positions 1470 to 1796 of the family's 1831-position model. The record is from RNAcentral.